RNAcentral lists this long non-coding RNA (643 nucleotides) under Anas platyrhynchos platyrhynchos (common mallard). Its description in RNAcentral is "lncRNA (ENSAPLG00000024430.1)". The record is from RNAcentral. Lineage: Eukaryota; Metazoa; Chordata; Aves; Anseriformes; Anatidae.
UAGUCACAAAUUUCCAUGGGCUGGCCACCAGCUCUCCAAAGAUGCCUUUGAGACAAACUGCGGGCAGAGGCAGCCAAGACCUCUAAAGCAGAUUUGGAUCCCUGAGGAAGUGUGCGGGUAGAAAGGGCAGUGGUGUCUUUCUGACACUUCGGACAACCCCUCCGAACUCCAUCCUCAUCUUUCGAGCUCCUCCAGCCACAGAUCUGACACUAGCAUACCCAGUAUGGACUGGAGAAGGGUUGUCUUUUCUCGCUGCUGCUGUUGUAGAGCACAAUGAGGUUGCUGACUGAUGUUAGCUGCAUGCACAAGGAAGAAAAAGCUGAAGCUGACAGGAGAAAAAAAAAAAAAAGAAAAAAAAAAGAAAAAUGUAAAGAAGAAAAUAGUCUACAAAUUGGGAAAAGCAUUCUGCUUUGACAGAAUAAAAAUAAAACCUGGAAUAGGAAAGGAAAGGCAUGAAAGAGAGUACGUUGCCAGGGUAACAGAGUGUAAGCAGGAGAACAGCACCUUGCAGAUCACAAAGGCAAAUCUGCAGAAAGAAAUUUCAAGCACAACAGUAAGAAAACACAUGGAGCUGAAGCUGACCACACAAGAGAACAGCUGCAUGCAAGACAGGACAACAGAGUUCUUAGCAAAUUGGGCAUGA